CUAAGGGAUGGGAGGAGAAAGCCUAGCAGAGAAAACAACUGCAGGGAAGUAGUCAAAGUGGCCACUGGGAAAAAAAUAACUAGUUAAUGAGAGUACAACUUUAUUUUGAGAUGAAGAAAUUCCAGAUGGAAGAGGGAAGGAGAGAGAACUCAAAUCCAUCAACAAGUAGUUGCUUACCUCCAAGUAGCAGAUUACACUUCUAUAGCUCUUUAAAGCUUAAAAAGCAUGUCCUACAUAGCAAACCCAUGGGAUUUUAACUUAGUGGAUACAAGAACCUGGAAGCUGGAAGUCUCUGCAGAAUAUCAGCUGAGCUCUGUCAUCACAGGGAAAUGCCUCUGAGUCUCCCUUCCCAACAGUUGUCUGUAACUAGGCCUUGUCUUCCAGCUGUUUUCCUAAGCCACAGAACACUUGAUUGGUAAUAAGCCUUUGAAUUAUAGAAUGAGAGCUGGAGUGAGACCUUAGACAUCAUUGAAACCAAGCCCCUCGCUGGAUAAACAGGUGAAGAAACUGAAGCUGUGGAGGUUAAAUGACAUGCCCGUGAUCACACACUUAAUAAGCAGCAGAGUCCAGAUUUGAACCCUGCCCUCUCAUUCUAAAUUCAUCACGCUGAGAUGGAGCCAAGAUGGUGGAGUAAAGGUGGGGGACUCACCUGAGCUGUCCCCCAAACAUC
This is a non-coding RNA of Phascolarctos cinereus (koala), 670 nucleotides long. NCBI's taxonomy places the organism in Eukaryota, Metazoa, Chordata, Mammalia, Diprotodontia, Phascolarctidae. The record is from RefSeq and is a predicted model, not a curated record.